GACAGAGGGUGCGAACGUUGCUCGGAAUUACUGGGCGUAAAGCGCGUGUAGGCGGACGCGCAAGUCAGGUGUGAAAUCCCUGGGCUCAACCCAGGAACUGCAUCUGAAACUGCAUGUCUGGAGUGUCGGAGAGGGAAGCGGAAUUCCUGGUGUAGAGGUGAAAUUCGUAGAUAUCAGGAGGAACACCGGUGGCGAAGGCGGCUUCCUGGACGAUUACUGACGCUGAGACGCGAAAGCGUGGGGAGCAAACAGG
RNAcentral lists this ribosomal RNA (253 nucleotides) under uncultured bacterium. RNAcentral's name for it is "partial 16S ribosomal RNA". It matches the Rfam family "Bacterial small subunit ribosomal RNA", at positions 524 to 776 of the family's 1533-position model. The record is from RNAcentral.